RNAcentral lists this long non-coding RNA (235 nucleotides) under Physcomitrium patens. RNAcentral describes it as "long non-coding RNA (PPAT_LNC013274)". Lineage: Eukaryota; Viridiplantae; Streptophyta; Bryopsida; Funariales; Funariaceae. The record is from RNAcentral.
UUAUUCCAAAGAUUCACUUCUCAAUAUUAAAAAAUUAUCCAUUACUCUUCAACAAUAAAGAAACAAAGAGGUAGCACCAUGCUUAGCCUGACUCAUGACUAUCACAGUCUGGGACUUAUAAUAUCUUCUUCAACUUACUUAUGCUUUACUUCUAAAAUUCCAGAUUUUAAUUGUCAUUCCCUACUUAACCAUUUUUCACAUCUAAUUCAAUCACAUGUCCUUUUAAAUUCACUAU